UCUACUAGCUACUAUAUAAUACU
RNAcentral lists this non-coding RNA (23 nucleotides) under Arabidopsis thaliana (thale cress). Lineage: Eukaryota; Viridiplantae; Streptophyta; Magnoliopsida; Brassicales; Brassicaceae. The record is from RNAcentral.